This 823-nucleotide ribosomal RNA is filed under the name uncultured organism. RNAcentral describes it as "bacterial SSU rRNA". It matches the Rfam family "Bacterial small subunit ribosomal RNA", at positions 13 to 826 of the family's 1533-position model. The record is from RNAcentral.
UUGAUCCUGGCUCAGGACGAAGUCUGGCGGCGUGCUUAAUACAUGCAAGUCGAACGCGAAAGCACUCUUCGGAGUGCGAGUAGAGUGGCGAAUGGGUGAGUAACGCGUAGGUAAUGUACCCUCGAGAUUGAGAUAACCCCGGGAAACCGGGGCUAAUACCGAAUGAAGCAUGACCUGUGGGAUGGUGAUGUGAAAGUGGCGCAAGUCACGUUUGGGGAGCAGCCUGCGUCCUAUCAGCUUGUUGGCGGGGUAACGGCCCACCAAGGCGAAGACGGGUAGCUGAUCUGAGAGGAUGAUCAGCCACACUGGGACUGAGACACGGCCCAGACUCCUACGGGAGGCAGCAGUAGGGAAUAUUGCGCAAUGGGGGAAACCCUGACGCAGCGACGCCGCGUGAGCGAAGAAGGCUUUAUUAGUCGUAAAGCUCUGUAGGGAGGGAAGAACCGCAGGUGGUAACGCAUCUGUCUGACGGUACCUCCAAAGUAAGGACCGGCUAAAUACGUGCCAGCAGCCGCGGUAAUACGUAUGGUCCGAGCGUUGUCCGGAAUUACUGGGCAUAAAGGGUGCGUAGGCGGAUGUGUAAGUCAGGUGUGAAAGCCCUCGGCUCAACCGGGGAAUUGCGCUUGAAACUGCACGUCUAGAGCAUGUCAGAGGCAGGCGGAAUUCCCGGAGUAGCAGUGAAAUGCGUAGAUAUCGGGAAGAACACCGGUGGCGAAGGCGGCCUGCUGGGACAGUGCUGACGCUGAGGCACGAAAGCGUGGGGAGCGAACGGGAUUAGAUACCCCGGUAGUCCACGCCGUAAACGAUGGAUACUAGAUGUAGC